UUUUUUUUUUUUUUUAAAAUCACAUGAUUGGCUCCUCUGGCGACCAGAUCCCAUCUUCCAAGAGUCACCUCAUUAGCACUGACUCCAGUAUGAUUGAAAGGGGCUUUUAAAAUUAUUAUUUCAAUAGAUGUUUGGAGAAUAGGUGGUAUUUGGUUGCAUGAAUGAGUUCUUUAGUGGUGAUAUCUGAGAUUUUGUGCACCCAUUACCUGAGCAGUAUAUACUCUACCAAAUUUGUGUUUUUUUAUCCCUCACCCACCUCCCUCCCUUUGCCCUGAGUCCCCAAAGUCCACGGUAUUAUUCUUUUUUAUUUAAUAGAGAUGGGGUUUCACCAUGUUGGCCAGGCUGGUGUCAAACUCCUGACCUCAAGCGAUCCACCCGCCUCAGCCUCCGAAAGUGCUGGAAUUACAGGAGUGCACCACCAUACCUGGCCUGUGUCAUUCUUAUGACUUUUCAUCCUCAUAGUUUAGCUCCCACUUAUGAGUGAGAACAUACAAUGUUUGACUUUCCAUUCCUGAGUUACUUCACUUAGAAUAAUAGUCUUGAAUUCCAUCCAGGUUGCUGCAAAUGCCAUUAUUCUGUUCCUUUCUAUGACUGAGUAGUAUUCCAUGGUAUAAAUAUACCACAGUUUGUUUAACCACUCAUUGAAUGAUGGGCAUUUAGGCUGUUUCCAUAUUUUUGCAAUUGCAAAUUGUGCUGCUAUACACAUGUGUGUGCAAGUAUCUUUUUCAUAUAAUGACUUCUUUUUCUCUACCCAGUAGUGAGAUUGUUGCUGAUACUAUUCUUUUAAUGGUUAUCCUAGAAAUAAAAACAUGAAUACUUAUUACUAAGCAAGCAAUGGACUUGCUGACUGAUGUUUAUAGAAGCCAAUGUUACGGCAGAGGCUUUUGAGAAAAGAAAGACUUCAUUGUGAAUCAACUAUCAAAAAAGACAGGAAGCAAUGCUCAAAUCUCCCAAAAAAAGUGCUCAAAUCUCCCCAAAAAAUCUCCCCAAGCCAGGGGCUUGGGCAGGUUUUACAGGAAAAGGGUAAUUAGGUGUGAUCUAAUUGGAUCUUGCAAAGAGGUAAUGCCUGGGGGUGUGGUCUAACUGGAUGAUGCCAUGAGGUGAUGCCAGGGUACUAUCUCAUUAGAGCAUGAGAUGAGGUAAUCCCCAGGCUUGCGGCCAUAUGCAGUCCCUGUUCCUCCAUAUGAGAGGCUUGGUUCCACCUGUGGUUGACUGUUUAGUUCUGCCUGGAUCUGGAGUCAUGAAUAAAGCAUAUUUGGUUCAUCUGGGCAUGCUCGGGUUAUGUGCCCUGCCUUCUAAGGCUUCACAGCAAUUGAAAAACAAUUCACCAUUUUAGUAUACAAAGAUGAACUAGAUUGAGCUGGUUCUAUGGUUACAUACUUAACAAAAUCUAAAGAUAUCCUCCUCCUAGACAAUGAAUGGACCUCAGAAAAAAAUUUAAUUUCAUUUACCCUUUUCCUAAAUUAUAUGUUAUUGUUGUGAGUAUUAACUCUAUGUUUUUUUUCAAUCCCACUAAAUAUUAUUGUUCAUCUUUUUCCUUUAGGAUUAUCUAGAUACUUAUCACUUUCAUUGCUCUUUACUUUUUCUUGCAUGUUAUGUCUUCCAUUGGAAUUAUUUUCUUUUGCCUGAAGUAUAUUCUUUUUGUUUUUUUAAACAGGAUGUCACUCUAUCACCCAAGUUGGAGUAUAGUGGCACAAUCAUAGCUCACUGCAGCCUCAAACUCCUGGGUUCAAGCAAUCCUCCUGCCUCAGCAGCUCAAGUAGCUAGGACUAAAGGCAUGCACCACCACACCCAGCUAAUUUUUUUUUAAGAGGCAGGGUGUGAUAUGGUUUGGCUGCGUUCCCACCCAAAUCUCAUCUUGAAUUGUAGCUCCCACAAUUCCCACAUGCUGUGGGAGGGACCUGGUGGGAGAUAAUUGAAUCAUGGGGGUGUUUUCCCCCAUACUGUUAUCAUGGUAGUGAAUAAGUCUCACAAGAUCUAAUUGUUUUAUAAAGGGAACCCCCUUUUGCUUGGGUCUCAUUCUCUUUCUUUGUCUGCCACCAUGUGAGACAUGCCUUUCACCUUCUACCAUGAUUGUAAGCCCUCCCCAGCCACGUGGAACUGUGAGUCCAUUAAUCCUCUUUCUUUUGUAAAUUGCCCAAUCUCAGGUACGCCUAUAUUAGGUGUCACUGUGUUUCCUAGGCUGAUCUCAAACUCCUGGCCUCAAGCAAACUUCCUGCCUCAGUCUCUGCAAGUGUUGGGAUUACACACAUGAGCCACCAUGCCUAAUCAAGAUGUAUAUUCAUUAAAAUUUCAUUUAGUAAUGCUCAGCUGAUAGUGAAUUCUCUCAGCUUUCAUUUAUCUGAAAAUGCCUUUUUUAAAAGUCAUUUUUGAAAAAGGUAUUUUUUUGUUGCUUACAGAAUACAAGAUUGGCAAUUAUUUUCCUUCAGCAAAUUGUCUUCUUAUUUAAAUUGUUGUGAUUGAGAAGUCUGUGUUUCACUCUGAUAAUAUUUUGAAAGUAAUUGCUUUAAACAUUUUCUCUUGCCUUUGGCUAUCAUCAUUUUUAUUAGUAUUUGUUAUUUUAUCAUGAUAUUUAUUUGAGGCUAGAUGAGGACACCUUUGUACUUAGUGUGCUUCCCAUAUUUGUGAAUUUGUGAUCUUCCAUUAAUUCCAGAAAAUUCUCAGAUUUCACCUCCUAACAUAUUGCCUCUCUCAUUCUCUUUCUUUAGAACUCCACUUAGCUAUAUUAGAGCUCACUUUAUUCUCCUCACCUUCUAAUCCUCCUUCCAUAUUUUGUAUCUUUUUGUGUCUCAAUAAUACAGGCUAGAUGAAUUAUUCUACCCUGUUUCAGUUAACUAAUUUUCUCUGUGGUAGGGUUUAAUCUUUUGUUAAACAUAUCCAACAUAUGUGUAAAGUUUAGUCUUUCAAUUUUCCAUUUAUUAUUCUAUUUGGUUCUUUUUUAGAUUUGGUAGGUCACUUUUUAUAUGGUUCUAUUCCUGCAUAUAUAUAUUUUUUCUUUAAACACAGUAAACCUGAUUGGUUUACAAUCAAUCCAUGGCUGACAUUUUCACUGCCUGAAGUGUUUACAAGUUUAUUUCUGCAAACUGAUGUUUCUGCUUUUUCCUUUUUCUCUUUUUGUGCCCAUAAUGCAGUGAAUCUAUGUACACUCUUUAAAUUGUGUGCUAGGCACUAUCCAUGAACAUUUAUUUGUGGAGACUUUUUGAGACCUAAGAUAAAGGUAUCUCUACCCAGUGGUAAAUGCCUAGUGGUACUAUUAGUAAAAGGACCACUUUUUUUUCUAACUUUUUAAACAACAUUAUUGAGAAACCACAUAAAACAAUACUUGCAUAGUUUAAUAAUACAUAUCAGCACCUUUUAACAAGAGGUUAUAAACUGUGUAACCACUGUCAAUGCCAACAUGUAGAAUUUUCUCCUUAGAAAAUCACCGUGUGUCAGAUUACCUAUGUAACAAACCUGCACUUGUACCCCUGAACUUAAAAUUAAAAAAAAGAAACUUACCUUGUGUCUAUUUGCAGUCUGUUUUUCCCGCUUUAAACCCUAAUGAACCACUAAUCUGCUUUCUGUCACUAUAAAUUAGUUUAGCUUGCUCUAGAAUUUGACACAAAUUACAUUGCACACUUUUUGCUUUUUUAUACUCUUGUGUCUGCCUACUGUUAUUCAGCAUAAUAUUUCUGAGAAUCAUCCAUGUUGUUGUAUGUAUCAGCAAUUUGUCCUUAUUUCUCAAUAGUAACUCAAGUUAGAAAUAUACCACAAUUUAUUUAUCCAGUCAACAGCUCAUGGACAUUUGAAUUGUUUCCAGAUUUUGGUCAUUUUGAAUAAGGCUACUAUUCAUGAAUAGUCCCAUUCAUAUAAAUGAACAGGUAUUUACAAAUAUUUCUGUAAACAUAUGUUUUUGUUUCUCUUGGGGAUGGAUUUCCUGGGUCAGGUGGUAGGCACAGAAUAACUUUACAAAAUCUACCAAACUGUCUUCCAAGGUGAUUAUACCAAGGAUCAGUUUUAAAUAAACUCAAGGCUUUAAAAAAAUUGGCCAUGCAGGAGACAACAAUUUAUGCUGAACAUCCAUGAGAAGGGUUAAAUGUUACUGUUUCUCAGGAAUAAGGUCCCUGCCCUCCGUAUCACCUCUGAUCAACUUCAGGGCAGCCUUUCUUAUAGACACCUGGUGAGAGUUCACUUCUGAUUACUUUACCCUUAUAGUAUAGCCUUUUGAACCAUCUUAAUGUGGGGAGUGUUUUCUCCCCUUCUUAGGCAGAUCAUGGAAUUUGCUUUCUAUCAUCUUCUAAGGCCAUCAGAACCAAAGAUCAACCUUCCCAGACCAGCAAAUGCCUUUAGAACCCAAGAGGGUUCUGUGCUCUGCUUACCUUCCUGUGCUUUCAUUUUCCCUUAGAUUUUAGCUGGGGAAUUUCUUACAUCUUGGCAGCUUUUCAAUGAUUGCAAAUAAAAAUCUUUUGUAUUUUUCCCAAAAUUGUAGGUCUUUUCAGAAGUAGGGUUGGUUCUAAUAACUAAGUCCACAACAACAUUUGUUCUUUUCUUUCACCUCCUCUGUUAUAUCAGGAAACCGGCCUGUUUUAUAUCCUCCUCAUGUUUCUAAAUUGAUUAAAUUUUUAUAGUUGGAAUGCAUUCCACUUAUAAUCAGCAAAAAUAAUAAAGAUAUUUCAAAUUUGGAAAAAAUAGUGAUUAUCUUUAAAUUUUUUCUAUGAGAAGUAUUUUCCCUACUUCCUUUAAAAGGACAAGCUAAGGUUUUUUUUUUUUUUUUUGAGAUGAAGUCUCGCUGUGUCACCCAGGAUGGAGUACAGUGGCAUCAUCUCGGCUCACAAUCUCCACCUCCCAGGUUCAAGCGAUUCUCCUGCCUCAGCCUUCCAAGUGGCUGGGAUUACAGGUGCACAC
Macaca fascicularis (crab-eating macaque) is the source of this 4884-nucleotide long non-coding RNA. Lineage: Eukaryota; Metazoa; Chordata; Mammalia; Primates; Cercopithecidae. The record is from Ensembl.